CUCUCUCCCUCUCUCUCUCACACUUCUUUUUCACUUUCCCUUCUUCCCUGGUUGGUCCCAUCAGCCUGCAAAUCUAGCAAACUCUUCUGGGUCAUUAUUAAAUCUUCCUCUACCAGCAACUUUCAUUUCCAUCUCUACCUCUUCUUUCUUUCUUCUUCUUUCUUCCUCUGAAGCUUUCUUUUUAUAUAUACAUAUCAUGGCUGUGUUUCUUCAAGACGUAGAAUCUUGGCUUCCUACUGAGUUUCUUUCUGAGAAAGAGCUGCUCAUGGAUAAAGAGAACUUUAACAAUAAUGGGUUGAGCUCUGAGUUCAAGCCUGCCGGAUUUAGUUUUCCUACCGAGUUCCCUUAUGAGUUUGAGCUUAAGGGCUCCUCUGCUUCUCUUAGCUCGCCAGAUGAGUCCGUUGUUGGCUCUACUGAAACAGAGAGCAUUGACGAGGACGAUUUUCUAGCUGGGUUGACUCGCCGACUCACUCAACAACUCACUGUCAAACCCGAGACGUGGGUCAUAACCGGGUCGCCCGAGUCGACACUUAGUGGAAUCGGAAGCUGGUCAUUCUCGAGCAACGGGAGCCCUAAUGGUGUUCUGUCGCCGCCAACGACGCCUUUCAGGACCAAAAAUGAUACGUGGGAUCUCAUAUACGCGGCCGCCGGGCAAGUCGCUAGGUUGAAGAUGAGCAAUGAAGGCAACAAGUACCAUAACCAUCAAGAGAGGGGGUUACUGGGUCCUGUAAGGAGCCAAAAUCCAGGCACUACCCUUAAAAAUCAGAAUCCUGGGCUCUAUUCGAGCCAGAGCUUUAGCCACUCUGUUUCACAAAUGAAUCAGUACCAUUCUCAAGUGAGACAGGAACCGCUGCUAAAGUCGCAGUGCCCUUCAGUUUGUGAAAGACAGCAAAUGAAGGCUGGAUGGCAAGCCCAGCCACAGCCCCAGCAGCACCACCACCCUCGGCCGCAGAUCCAGUCCCACUUCCAGCACCAGCAACAACAGAUACAGAUCCAGAGCAGAGGCAGGAGUGUGGUUGGCUAUGAAAAUGGGAGAUGUGUGCGUCCUAUGGGUAUUCCACAGUCUGCUUGGCCGCCUCUUCAAGUGCAAUCAAAUAAACAGCAGCACCUACACCAACACCAACACCAACACUCUCUCUUCCUCUGCUACGUUUCUCAUGCCUGCUCUGCUUCUAUUGCCAUUUCCCUUCCUUCUUUAAUCUUUAAUAUUCUUCCCAAGAAAUACACAUUCCCAUUUCGCUAUAUUUUUGUCCAUUGCCCAUGGCUAUGAUUUCUUGUAUUCUUUUCAUUUUCUUUCUGUUUCUACGCGCUUGUGCCCAGCGCAGCUCUGAGAAUCUGGCGGAGAUUCAAGCCUUGAUGUCCUUCAAGCUCAAUCUUCACGACUCACUUGGAGCUCUGAAUGGCUGGGAUUCUUCCACGCCCUCCGCUCCUUGCGACUGGCGUGGAGUUGCUUGUACUAAUAACCGUGUCACUGAGAUUCGUCUUCCUCGUCUCCAGUUAGCUGGUCGACUCAGUGAACAAUUAGCCAACCUACACAUGCUGCGCAAGUUGAGCCUCAGGUCCAACUCCUUAAAUGGAACUAUCCCUUCUUCUCUCUCCAGAUGCACACUACUACGUGCUGUUUUCUUGCAGUACAACUCGCUCUCCGGAAAUCUCCCUCCGGAAAUCGGUAACCUCACCGAUCUUCAAGUCCUAAAUGUAGCUCAAAACCAUCUUUCCGGUGAAAUAUCUCCCAAUCUCCCUCCAAACCUUGCGUAUCUGGAUCUUUCAUCUAACACUUUCUCUGGUUCAAUCCCACCCACCAUUGCUAGUCUCUCCCAGCUUCAACUAAUCAAUCUUUCAUACAAUGAGUUGUCUGGUUCGAUUCCGGUGAGCUUUGGUGAGCUUCAAUAUCUCCAGUAUCUCUGGCUGGAUUACAAUCUUUUACAAGGGACUAUACCAUCAGCCAUUGCUAAUUGUUCUUCGCUUGUGCAUUUGAGCGCCAAUGGUAACUCACUUAGAGGUGUGAUCCCGGCGGCCAUAGGAGCACUUCCUAAGCUACAAGUCGUUUCUCUUUCACAAAAUAACCUCUCUGGUUCAGUUCCAUCGUCCAUGUUCUGCAAUAUAUCGGUUUAUCCGCCGUCGCUGCGGAUCUUGCAGCUCGGGUUCAAUGCAUUUACAGAAGUUGUCGGGCCUGAUUCAGGGGACUGCUUUAGUGUUUUGCAGGUUUUGGAUCUUCAAAGGAAUAAAAUACGCGGCUUGUUUCCUUUAUGGUUAACAAAGGUGGCUACUUUGACAUCGUUGGACUUUUCAGGGAAUUUAUUUUCCGGUGUGAUUCCUCCGGAGAUUGGAAAUAUGUUGAGAUUGGAACAGUUCAAGAUGGCUGACAAUUCUUUCAGAGGCGUUAUACCGGCGGAGAUAACACAAUGUAGGUCAUUGCGUGUUCUUGAUCUUGAAGGGAACCUCUUUUCGGGGGAAAUUCCUGCAGUCUUGGGUGAUAUAAGAGGUUUGAAAGAGUUAUCUCUAGGUGCAAAUCAGUUCUCUGGUUUAGUUCCGGAGACUUUCCGGAAUCUCACGGAACUUGAAACCUUGAGUUUACGUGAUAAUGGUUUGAAUGGAAGCUUGCCAGAGGAGCUCAUGGGGUUGAGCAAUUUAACCACAUUGGACGUUAGUCGAAACAGUUUCUACGGUGAAAUUCCAGCAAAUAUUGGGAAUUUGAGUCGGAUAAUGUCACUGAAUUUGAGUGGUAAUGCCUUUUCGGGGAAGAUUCCAGGUAGUUUGGGAGACAUGUUGAGGCUGACAACACUUGAUUUGAGCAAACAGAAACUCUCUGGCCAGUUGCCAUCAGAGCUUUCUGGCUUGCCAAAUUUACAAGUGAUUGCUUUGCAGGAGAAUGUGUUGUCUGGGGAUGUUCAUGAAGGAUUCAGUAGUUUGAUGGGUUUGCGCUACUUGAACCUCAGUUCUAAUGCCUUAUCUGGUCAAAUUCCAUCAACUUAUGGAUUUCUUCGGUCAUUGGUCGUACUUUCGCUCUCCAAUAAUCACAUCUGUGGAUUGAUACCACCCGAGCUUGGUAACUGUUCUGAUCUUGAAAUUCUUGAGUUGCAAUCAAAUUCUUUAACUGGCCACAUUCCUGCUGAUAUCUCUCGCCUCUCACAUUUGGAAGUGCUUGAUUUAAGUAGGAACAAUUUAUCAGGUGAAAUCCCGGAGGAAAUCUUCAAAUGUUCGUCCUUAACUUCAUUGUUACUAGAUACUAAUCAUCUUUCAGGCCACAUUCCAGAUUCACUGUCCAAUUUAUCCAACCUAACAUCUCUUGAUCUCUCCACUAACAACUUGAGUGGGGAGAUUCCGGCCAAUCUUACUCGAAUCACUAGCUUGGUAUACUUCAAUGUGUCAAGCAAUAACCUUGAAGGUGAGAUUCCAGUGUUGUUGGGUUCUAGAUUUAACAAUCCUUCAGCAUUUGCGGGUAAUGCAGACCUUUGUGGAAAGCCAUUGAACAGAAAAUGUGUGGAUAUAGCUGAAAGGGACAGAAGGAAAAGGCUGAUUCUUUUGAUUGUUGUGGCUGCAAGCGUGGCUUGCCUCUUGGCAUUGUGUUGCUGCUUCUACAUUUUCAGCCUCUUGAGGUGGCGCAAGAGACUAAAAGAAGGAGCAGCAGGGGAGAAGAAACGGAGCCCUGCAAGGGCUAGCUCAGCGGCGAGUGGUGGUCGAGGCAGCACGGACAAUGGAGGGCCAAAGCUUGUUAUGUUUAACAACAAGAUCACGCUUGCAGAAACAAUUGAAGCAACUAGGCAAUUCGAUGAAGAAAAUGUGCUUAGCAGAACUAGGUAUGGAUUAGUUUUCAAGGCAUGCUAUAACGAUGGAAUGGUACUUUCAAUAAGGAGACUCCCAGAUGGAUCAAUGGAUGAAAACAUGUUUAGGAAAGAAGCCGAGUUUCUAAGCAAAGUAAAGCAUCGAAACCUCACAGUUCUUCGUGGAUACUAUGCUGGGUCACCAGAUUUAAGGCUUCUUGUCUAUGACUACAUGCCCAACGGAAACCUUGCUACUCUCCUCCAAGAAGCAUCUCACCAGGAUGGCCAUGUCCUCAAUUGGCCAAUGCGUCACCUUAUAGCUCUUGGAAUCGCCCGUGGACUAGCCUUUCUACACACAUCAAACACUGUUCAUGGAGAUGUCAAGCCACAGAGUGUUCUAUUCGAUGCAGAUUUCGAAGCCCAUCUCUCAGAUUUUGGGCUAGAUCGCCUGACCUUGCCAACCCCAGCAGAACCCUCCACUUCAACAACAGUUGGCACGUUGGGCUAUGUAUCCCCAGAAGCAGUACUAACAGGAGAGCUCACAAAAGAAUCAGAUGUCUACAGCUUUGGUAUAGUUUUGCUGGAGCUACUGACGGGGAAAAGACCUGUAAUGUUCACCCAAGAUGAAGAUAUAGUGAAGUGGGUCAAGAAGCAACUGCAGAGGGGUCAAAUUACUGAACUGUUAGAGCCAGGAUUACUUGAGCUUGACCCUGAAUCAUCAGAAUGGGAAGAGUUCUUGCUGGGAGUGAAAGUUGGGUUACUUUGCACAGCACCAGACCCUCUUGAUCGACCCACCAUGUCCGAUAUUGUUUUCAUGCUCGAAGGUUGCCGCGUUGGUCCCGAUAUUCCAUCCUCGGCGGAUCCCACCUCUCAGCCCUCACCGGCAUUACAGCCCGAAACAAUUUGAGACCCGAAACCGAGACUUUUUACGGUCACGGAUCUUUGACCUUCUUUUUUUUUUUUUUUAAUUUGGGGGAUUGGGUGUAGAAAUGUUGGGGGCUGGA
This 4768-nucleotide unclassified non-coding RNA is filed under the name Hevea brasiliensis (rubber tree). The record is from RNAcentral. Lineage: Eukaryota; Viridiplantae; Streptophyta; Magnoliopsida; Malpighiales; Euphorbiaceae.